ACUACAAACCGGGCUAUCGCCUUUCCCGCAAGGGAGGGGAGGAAAGUCUGGACAGCAUAGGGCAAUGUACCGGUGAAUAGCCGGGUCCUUUCUCCCGAUACAAUCGGGAGGAGGGAACAGACAGUGCCACAGAAAAUUACAGCUUGCAUCCCGGCCCUGGCCGGGACUAGUUCUGACCCCCCGGGUUGGAAGGGUGAUGGUGAAAACGUGGGGUAAGAGCCCACGGCUUUGCCGGGCGACCGGCAGGGCGGGUAAACCUUGCAUGCUGAAAUGCCAUGUAUACCAGCGUUGAAGAGCGGCUCGCUCGAAUGCUCCGUUAAAAGGGCUACGUUGGGUGGGUAGGCAGAAUGAUCCGGUCAGUAAUGGCCGGACAAGAUAAAUGAUAGCCUCCCGAUCGUAUCGGGAUACAGAAUCCGGCUUACAGGUUUGUAGUUAUU
RNAcentral lists this RNase P RNA (437 nucleotides) under Niastella populi. Its description in RNAcentral is "Bacterial RNase P class A". It matches the Rfam family "Bacterial RNase P class A". Rfam says of the family: Ribonuclease P (RNase P) is a ubiquitous endoribonuclease, found in archaea, bacteria and eukarya as well as chloroplasts and mitochondria. The record is from Rfam by way of RNAcentral. Lineage: Bacteria; Pseudomonadati; Bacteroidota; Chitinophagia; Chitinophagales; Chitinophagaceae.